This 321-nucleotide ribosomal RNA is filed under the name Triticum aestivum (bread wheat). RNAcentral's name for it is "partial small subunit ribosomal RNA". Lineage: Eukaryota; Viridiplantae; Streptophyta; Magnoliopsida; Poales; Poaceae. The record is from RNAcentral.
GCCAUUCUCAAGAUCUUUGGUAAUGCUUUUGGUCUGUUCACUAAUAUCAGCAAAACGGUGGCUUAUCCCAUCACUUGUCAUGGAAUUGAGCUGGAUCCCAUGCUGGCUAUUUUUGGUGGGAUACAAGGGACUCUCCCAUGUAAAUAUUUGGGACUGCCUCUAGGUGUCAGGAAGCCCAGGAGAGCCGAGGUGCAGCCGGUGCUGGAUAAGAUGGCGGGAAAGCUAUCGCCUAGGAAAGGCAGAUUGCUAAACAUGAUGGGGAGGCUGGUUUACAUCAACUCAGUGGUCACUAACAUUGCCAUUUAUUUCAUAACAGCCUAA